GCGGCCUAUCAGCUUGUUGGUGGGGUAAUGGCCUACCAAGGCGACGACGGGUAGCCGGCCUGAGAGGGUGACCGGCCACACUGGGACUGAGACACGGCCCAGACUCCUACGGGAGGCAGCAGUGGGGAAUAUUGCACAAUGGGCGCAAGCCUGAUGCAGCGACGCCGCGUGAGGGAUGACGGCCUUCGGGUUGUAAACCUCUUUCAGUAGGGGAAGAAGCGUAAGUGACGUUACCUGCAGAAGAAGCGGCGGCUAACUACGUGCCAGCAGCCGCGGUAAUACGUAGGGCGCAAGCGUUAUCCGGAAUUAUUGGGCGUAAAGAGCUCGUAGGCGGUUUGUCGCGUCUGCUGUGAAAGACCGGGGCUCAACUCCGGUUCUGCAGUCGGUACGGGCAGACUAGAGUGCAGUAGGGGAGACUGGAAUUCCUGGUGUAGCGGUGAAAUGCGCAGAUAUCAGGAGGAACACCGAUGGCGAAGGCAGGUCUCUGGGCUGUAACUGACGCUGAGGAGCGAAAGCAUGGGGAGCGAACAGGAUUAGAUACCCUGGUAGUCCAUGCCGUAAACGUUGGGCACUAGGUGUGGGGGACAUUCCACGUUUUACGCGCCGUAGCUAACGCAUUAAGUGCCCCGCC
RNAcentral lists this ribosomal RNA (631 nucleotides) under uncultured bacterium. Its description in RNAcentral is "bacterial SSU rRNA". It matches the Rfam family "Bacterial small subunit ribosomal RNA", at positions 233 to 873 of the family's 1533-position model. The record is from RNAcentral.